AGCUUUGUGCAGUGGUAGCAUAGUCUGUGAAGUUCAAUGGAGAUAUGAUUAUUGCUAAUUGAAAACUUUCAUCAGUGUUUUGCCAUGACAGCUUGAAAUAUAGCUGUUAGCAAUUUUUAGUAGUUUCUGUGGACG
Molecule: small nuclear RNA, 135 nt
Organism: Caretta caretta (loggerhead turtle)
Lineage: Eukaryota; Metazoa; Chordata; Testudines; Cheloniidae
Product: U4 spliceosomal RNA
Source: RefSeq, a predicted model, not a curated record